UAUAAAGAGCAAAAAGGCCUAUCGGCUUUAAUGAGAUAUCACAGCCACUUAUGGGAGGUGAGUAACUUUUUAUGUGUUUUCAAAGGAUAAAAAUGAACAUCAUGAUCUCGGGUUCCUGUCUGUCAUUUGAGCUGGGACAUCAAUUAAUGUGUGAGAAAUCAAAAUCUUCAUGCAACUUGUGAACUAGACAGUUACUGAGAAAAUUCAUUACUGCACUAAUGAGCAAAAAAUAAAGCUAGAAUUUGGUUUUGUCCAAGAUAUUGGAAAUAAAAAAGGACAAUUAGGAGUCAUACAACUUCCACAGCUCUGUGCUGAAUAUUAAUGUUUGCUUAUUAUGUGUGUGGGUUUACUUAGCUUACUUUAGCUACCUUUGCAAUAUAAUAAACACAUUCUAAAUUAUCUGUAUGAUCCUUUUCAGUGAAUGGGUGCCAUCAAAAUGAGAGUCCAAACAGCUGAUAAAAUGGUCAUGAGAAACUGUAUGUUUGUAAUUCAAACAAAUUCAUCAUAAACUGUCGCUUCUGGCUAAAAUACAGUGAUCUGUGCAUAUUUCUCACCUGAUUCAGUCGAAACAACCUUUUUCACUGGGUAAAGCAAUAUUAUGGACUCUUUUUGGCCAAAAGCAAAGUUUUAAAGUUUAAAACGUCCUAAUGUUGAAUUUGUUUCUUAGAAAAACACAGCUUUUCACUUCACAAGAUGUUAACUGAUGGACUGUAGAGUUGUGCAGAUUACUUGUGAAUUAUUGUGAUGUCUUUAUCAGCUGUUUGGACUCUCAUUCUGACGGCACCCAUUCACUGCAGAGGAUCCAUUGGUGAGCAAGUGAUGCAAUGCUAUAUUCUCCAAAUCUGAUGAAGAAACGAACUCAUCUACAUCUUGGAUGGCCUAUGGGUCCCUAGGCAGUGUUGACUGCAAUGGCAUCAUACACAGACAAAACUUAAGAUUUUGAGAUGACAGUAUGGAGGUGGACAGCAAACAGUAACGUCUUUUGGAGGUGCAGUCCUGAACGUCCAGGGCUUGACACGGCUCAUUGCUUCACCUUCAACAUCUCACACACUAGCAGAACUCCCACACUCCCGUCAACAACACCUACAGGAAAGAAAAAUCACUUUCACUUUAAUGUCUCAAUUGUUUAUCCUGUAGAGCGAGAGAGAGUUUUUACUUUAUUUUUAAACUUUCAAAAGAAUUUUGAUCUUGCGUACUGAUGUAAAACUCCUGAAACUUUUGUGAAUGUGCGGUGAAAAUACACAGAAGAGAAGAAAUUGUUUUUAUUUUUGUUGCUCACAAAAAGUAUUCUCAUAGCUUCAUAAAAUUAAGGUAUUUUAACAAUGUUUUUACUACCUUUCUGGGCCUUGAACGUGGUAGUUGUGUUGCUGUCUGUGCAGGGUAAAAAAGCUCUCAGAUUUCAUCAUAAAAAUCUUAAUUUGUGUUUUGAAGGUCUUAAGGGUUUUGAACGACAUGAGGGUGAGGAAUUAAUGACAGAAUUUUCAUUUUUGGGUGAACAAUCCCUUUAAACAUGUAUUAUAAAUAUUAUAUUAGCCCUACAGUCACAGCAUGAAACUGUUUAAACUUAUAGCAUUUUACAUUUACCUAUUUUAUCUCACAAUUCUGACUUUUUUCCUUGCAAAUGCAAGUUUAUAUCUUGUACUGCAGACUUUAUAACUCGUUUACACUCAACAAUAACGAGUUUGUCCAUUCUGAGGAGGAAAAAAGCCAGAAGUGUGGGAUAUAAACUCAAAAGAGAGAAUGACGAGUUGUUUUUAAAGGUUUAAGCGAAUAGUGCUGAAACCAUAUUGUAAUUGUUAGAAUGAUCACGGAUGAGCGAUUUCCACAUAAAACUGAUUGUGCAGACCAAACCGUAAGUCAUAGAGACUUGAAAUUUAGAGGGAUGUAGUGCUCACACCGCAGACAACAUGACCAAGGCUUGCCCCAAUCUGCCAGAUGGGGAAAGUACAAAAUCGUUUAUAACUCCUAAACCGUCAGUUGCAGGCUUAAGUUAUCUUAUGUCGUUGGAUUUCUUGGCUCAUGACGUACAAAACACACACCUCAGAUUUGAUCGUGAGCCUUUUUUGAAACUUUUUUCUUUCCAAAACCUACUUUUUGGAACCAAAGCAGUGCAGAAAGAAGUAAUUAUCAAUAAUUAUCCAUAAAAUGCCUAUAACUCCUGAACGGGCACACUUAUGUAAGAGCUCAAGCUGAGGUCACAGGAAAAAAAUGCAGCGAUUGGCCACUUGGUGGCACUAUAAGAUGGAAAAGAAUGUAAAAAUGGCUAUAACUAGGCAACAAUUUGUCCUAUCAACAUGAAAAUUGC
Long non-coding RNA from Labeo rohita (rohu), 2305 nucleotides. RefSeq lists it as uncharacterized. The transcript is spliced from 3 exons. NCBI's taxonomy places the organism in Eukaryota, Metazoa, Chordata, Actinopteri, Cypriniformes, Cyprinidae. The record is from RefSeq and is a predicted model, not a curated record.